This 98-nucleotide non-coding RNA is filed under the name [Mannheimia] succiniciproducens MBEL55E. RNAcentral's name for it is "Mannheimia succiniciproducens MBEL55E Aggregatibacter sRNA 22". It matches the Rfam family "Aggregatibacter sRNA 22". Lineage: Bacteria; Pseudomonadati; Pseudomonadota; Gammaproteobacteria; Pasteurellales; Pasteurellaceae. The record is from Rfam by way of RNAcentral.
GUGCGGUCAAAAAAAUAGUUUUUUUGAACCUUGGCUAUGCCGACAUUCCCGAAAAGAAAAACGAUCCGUUAUACGGAUUGCAGAUACUUUUCCAUGAU